GAGAAUUCUCUGACCAGUUGUUGGAAUUGGAGAGUUUGGUUUCCAGCUACUUUGGAGCUUCAGCUUGGAAUUAGAGGCUAAAAUUGUUAUUUAGAAUAUAAAUAUAUUUCUUUAUCAGGUUAAUUAUAUUGAUUUUUGUUCUGGAAUUAUAAUUAAUCCCUGCUUCUUGUUCUAUUAAUUUUAUGCACAUAAUAAUAAAUAUAAUUUGAGAGUAAAA
Molecule: unclassified non-coding RNA, 217 nt
Filed under: Hevea brasiliensis (rubber tree)
Lineage: Eukaryota; Viridiplantae; Streptophyta; Magnoliopsida; Malpighiales; Euphorbiaceae
Source: RNAcentral